AACGAACGCUGGCGGCAGGCUUAACACAUGCAAGUCGAGCGCCCCGCAAGGGGAGCGGCAGACGGGUGAGUAACGCGUGGGAACGUACCUUUUGGUUCGGAACGACUCCGGGAAACUGGAGCUAAUACCGGAUAAGCCCUAACGGGGAAAGAUUUAUCGCCGAAAGAUCGGCCCGCGUCUGAUUAGCUAGUUGGUGAGGUAACGGCUCACCAAGGCGACGAUCAGUAGCUGGUCUGAGAGGAUGAUCAGCCACACUGGGACUGAGACACGGCCCAGACUCCUACGGGAGGCAGCAGUGGGGAAUAUUGGACAAUGGGCGCAAGCCUGAUCCAGCCAUGCCGCGUGAGUGAUGAAGGCCUUAGGGUUGUAAAGCUCUUUUGUCCGGGAAGAUAAUGACUGUACCGGAAGAAUAAGCCCCGGCUAACUUCGUG
This 431-nucleotide ribosomal RNA is filed under the name uncultured bacterium. Its description in RNAcentral is "partial 16S ribosomal RNA". It matches the Rfam family "Bacterial small subunit ribosomal RNA", at positions 29 to 507 of the family's 1533-position model. The record is from RNAcentral.